GAUGAAGAACGUAGCGAAAUGCGAUAAGUAGUGUGAAUUGCAGAAUUCAGUGAAUCAUCGAAUCUUUGAACGCACAUUGCGCCCCUUGGUAUUCCAUGGGGCAUGCCUGUUCGAGCGUCAUCUACACCCUCAAGCUCUGCUUGGUGUUGGGCGUCUGUCCCGCCUCUGCGCGCGGACUCGCCCCAAAUUCAUUGGCAGCGUUCCUUGCCCCCUCUCGCGCAGCACAUUGCGCUUCUCGAGGGCGGCUCCGGGACGCGAUCCAGCAAGAUGACCACCGUCUUUGACCUCGGAUCAGGUAGGGAUACCCGCUGAACUUAAGCAUAUCAAUAAGCGGAGGA
RNAcentral lists this unclassified non-coding RNA (338 nucleotides) under soil metagenome. Its description in RNAcentral is "partial contains 5.8S ribosomal RNA, internal transcribed spacer 2, and large subunit ribosomal RNA". The stretch from base 1 to 120 matches the Rfam family "5.8S ribosomal RNA", at positions 35 to 154 of the family's 154-position model. The record is from RNAcentral.